UACGGAGGGUGCGAGCGUUGUCCGGAGUCACUGGGCGUAAAGGGCGCGUAGGCGGCUUUUUAAGUGUGCGGUGAAAGCCCGGGGCUUAACCCCGGGUCGGCCGUGCCGACUGAAAAGCUGGAGCACUGUAGAGGCAGGUGGAAUUCCGGGUGUAGCGGUGGAAUGCGUAGAGAUCCGGAAGAACACCAGUGGCGAAGGCGGCCUGCUGGGCAGUUGCUGACGCUGAGGCGCGACAGCGUGGGGAGCAAACAGG
RNAcentral lists this ribosomal RNA (253 nucleotides) under uncultured bacterium. RNAcentral describes it as "partial 16S ribosomal RNA". It matches the Rfam family "Bacterial small subunit ribosomal RNA", at positions 524 to 776 of the family's 1533-position model. The record is from RNAcentral.